GUGUGUGCAGGGCGUGGCUGCGGUCCAAAUGCGCCGGCAACCGCACCUCCAGGGACUUAUCCGCAAGGACUUUAUCAUAAAGUUUCUCCGGGUGGCUGGCAAAGUUGCUGUAAGACGGUUUGUGAUGGCAGCCUGCUAGGACUACACCGGGGGAAAAGGCCUUAAAAAAAUUAACACGGCUUUUGAGAGCACUGUGCGUCGUUGUGUGUUUGUGCGUGUAUCAGUCCGUGUUUAACUUAAUGAAGCUUUACACUUCGCGGGAUGGAGCCCCGGGCCUGACAUGUGUCAUAUUCAUUUGCUUGACAAGGCAUUCGAGAACUUGGACAGUUCAACCCCCUUCCAGGGACCUCCUCCGCCUCGUCUUCGCCUCCCACACACAGUGAAAACCCUUGUAUUAUGCAUAUAUCGAGUAACUGUCUCCCUCUGAUUUUAUAGCGCUGAUAAUGCAAUGUUUGCCCUGCUCCUUGGAUUUCGUCCCCAGUCCAUUGGCAAAUAAAAUGUUGUUCGCUAAGCUCAGAGAUUGUACAAAUGGUGAAACAAAAGGAAAGGAAGUGAAUGAACGAAGCGGCCCACAUUGUUGGGACCAAGUCUACUACCGCUUGGGAUCACCCAAGAAAGUAUGCUACACUUUCUAACAGUUUCCUGCUCACGGAAUCCAUUUUUAAUGAACAAAAAAAAGCUUUAAUUGAAACUAUCGCUUUUUCACAAGAAAAAUAAAUAUGUACGAAAAAUUUUUUUAGACUGUUUUGGAAAGCUUACAAGCUAGGAAUGCUGGUUCUGAAAAAUAAAAAAAUUCAAAUUUCUUUCAAAGCCGAAAA
Drosophila biarmipes is the source of this 818-nucleotide long non-coding RNA. RefSeq lists it as uncharacterized. The record is from RefSeq and is a predicted model, not a curated record. NCBI's taxonomy places the organism in Eukaryota, Metazoa, Arthropoda, Insecta, Diptera, Drosophilidae. The transcript has 2 exons.